Molecule: ribosomal RNA, 210 nt
Filed under: uncultured bacterium
Lineage: Bacteria
Description: partial 16S ribosomal RNA
Rfam family: Bacterial small subunit ribosomal RNA
Source: RNAcentral
CCGUUUGGUGGUGGGGGAGUAGCCGGGCUAACGCCCCGGGUAAUACCGCAUACGGUUGCCGAGGGGAGUCCCUUGGCAAAGAAACCUCCGGGGCACAGAGAGGGGCUCGCGGCCUAUCAGCUAGUUGGUGAGGUAAUGGCUCACCAAGGCGACGACGGGUAGCUGGUCUGAGAGGAUGGCCAGCCACAUUGGGACUGAGAUACGGCCCAG